UCUGCCUACGGGGCGCAGCAGUCGGGAAUAUUGCGCAAUGGAGGAAACUCUGACGCAGUGGCGCCGCGUAUAGGAAGAAGGUUUUCGGAUUGUAAACUAUUGUCGUUAGGGAAGAUAAAAGACUGUACCUAAGGAGGAAGCCCCGGCUAACUAUGUGCCAGCAGCCGCGGUAAUACGGAGGAUUCAAGCGUUAUCCGGAUUUAUUGGGUUUAAAGGGUGCGUAGGCGGUCGGAUAAGUUAGAGGUGAAAUCCCGAGG
This 257-nucleotide ribosomal RNA is filed under the name uncultured bacterium. RNAcentral's name for it is "partial 16S ribosomal RNA". It matches the Rfam family "Bacterial small subunit ribosomal RNA", at positions 334 to 607 of the family's 1533-position model. The record is from RNAcentral.